Molecule: ribosomal RNA, 1372 nt
Filed under: uncultured bacterium
Lineage: Bacteria
Description: bacterial SSU rRNA
Rfam family: Bacterial small subunit ribosomal RNA
Source: RNAcentral
GAUGAACGCUGGCGGCGUGCCUAAUACAUGCAAGUCGAGCGAACGGACGAGAAGCUUGCUUCUCUGAUGUUAGCGGCGGACGGGUGAGUAACACGUGGAUAACCUACCUAUAAGACUGGGAUAACUUCGGGAAACCGGAGCUAAUACCGGAUAAUAUUUUGAACCGCAUGGUUCAAAAGUGAAAGACGGUCUUGCUGUCACUUAUAGAUGGAUCCGCGCUGCAUUAGCUAGUUGGUAAGGUAACGGCUUACCAAGGCAACGAUGCAUAGCCGACCUGAGAGGGUGAUCGGCCACACUGGAACUGAGACACGGUCCAGACUCCUACGGGAGGCAGCAGUAGGGAAUCUUCCGCAAUGGGCGAAAGCCUGACGGAGCAACGCCGCGUGAGUGAUGAAGGUCUUCGGAUCGUAAAACUCUGUUAUUAGGGAAGAACAUAUGUGUAAGUAACUGUGCACAUCUUGACGGUACCUAAUCAGAAAGCCACGGCUAACUACGUGCCAGCAGCCGCGGUAAUACGUAGGUGGCAAGCGUUAUCCGGAAUUAUUGGGCGUAAAGCGCGCGUAGGCGGUUUUUUAAGUCUGAUGUGAAAGCCCACGGCUCAACCGUGGAGGGUCAUUGGAAACUGGAAAACUUGAGUGCAGAAGGGGAAAGUGGAAUUCCAUGUGUAGCGGUGAAAUGCGCAGAGGUAUGGAGGAACACCAGUGGCGAAGGCGACUUUCUGGUCUGUAACUGACGCUGAUGUGCGAAAGCGUGGGGAUCAAACAGGAUUAGAUACCCUGGUAGUCCACGCCGUAAACGAUGAGUGCUAGGUGUUAGGGGGUUUCCGCCCCUUAGUGCUGCAGCUAACGCAUUAAGCACUCCGCCUGGGGAGUACGACCGCAAGGUUGAAACUCAAAGGAAUUGACGGGGACCCGCACAAGCGGUGGAGCAUGUGGUUUAAUUCGAAGCAACGCGAAGAACCUUACCAAAUCUUGACAUCCUUUGACAACUCUAGAGAUAGAGCCUUCCCCUUCGGGGGACAAAGUGACAGGUGGUGCAUGGUUGUCGUCAGCUCGUGUCGUGAGAUGUUGGGUUAAGUCCCGCAACGAGCGCAACCCUUAAGCUUAGUUGCCAUCAUUAAGUUGGGCACUCUAAGUUGACUGCCGGUGACAAACCGGAGGAAGGUGGGGAUGACGUCAAAUCAUCAUGCCCCUUAUGAUUUGGGCUACACACGUGCUACAAUGGACAAUACAAAGGGCAGCGAAACCGCGAGGUCAAGCAAAUCCCAUAAAGUUGUUCUCAGUUCGGAUUGUAGUCUGCAACUCGACUACAUGAAGCUGGAAUCGCUAGUAAUCGUAGAUCAGCAUGCUACGGUGAAUACGUUCCCGGGUCU